ACUGAAAAUAGAAAUGCACAGGUUCUUGUGGGUCCUGAAGAGAAGCCCCAGGAUUUAGAGUUAAAGCAUUUCUCUGCAUUUGUGAACUAACUGUUCCUACUUCUGUGAAGCCUUCUAGUCUUCUGCAUGCAGUUCCACAACUUGACCAUUUCCCGAAGGUGCUGUCUCUUCUCUACUGCUCUCCAUUCUGAGAACAAAAUUCAGGACAAGAAGACCUUGGCAAAAAUAUUGCAACACUUCAACAGAAGAAAUACCAAGGAAGAACUAUUUCCAUGGACAGAAAUGAUUUAUAACUCCAAGUCAUUCUGGACACAAGUCAUGAUCAGCGAUUCUGGGAGUUUGCUCUGUUCUCUAGCCAUACAAUACAGGAUACUCUGACAAGAGAGUGAUUCCAAAGUGCACUAGCAGACUAUUUCAUUGUCUCAGAAUAACAAGUUCCCUGUCCUACAAAGCGGCCAGGAUAAGUGCAUUAUCUUGGCCAUCUUACAUUUGAAUUCAAGAGUAUUUAAAGGUAGCAAAUGCAAAGUUACCUAUAAUUCUUUAUUCUGUCAGAAGACCGUGCUUUAAUAUCUAAAGUGUAGAUAAUUCAUA
RNAcentral lists this small RNA (591 nucleotides) under Rattus norvegicus (Norway rat). RNAcentral describes it as "uncharacterized LOC108351840". Lineage: Eukaryota; Metazoa; Chordata; Mammalia; Rodentia; Muridae. The record is from RNAcentral.